Molecule: ribosomal RNA, 253 nt
Filed under: uncultured bacterium
Lineage: Bacteria
Description: partial 16S ribosomal RNA
Rfam family: Bacterial small subunit ribosomal RNA
Source: RNAcentral
UACAGAGGUCCCAAGCGUUGUUCGGAUUCACUGGGCGUAAAGGGUGCGUAGGUGGCCGGUUAAGUCUGACGUGAAAUCUCCGAGCCUAACUCGGAAACUGCGUCGGAAACUAUCCGGCUCGAGGGUUGGAGGGGGGACUGGAAUACUUGGUGUAGCAGUGAAAUGCGUAGAUAUCAAGUGAAACACCAGUGGCGAAGGCGAGUCCCUGGACAACUCCUGACACUGAGGCACGAAAGCUAGGGGAGCAAACAGG